RNAcentral lists this ribosomal RNA (157 nucleotides) under Fusarium proliferatum. Its description in RNAcentral is "5.8S ribosomal RNA". It matches the Rfam family "5.8S ribosomal RNA". Rfam says of the family: 5.8S ribosomal RNA (5.8S rRNA) is a component of the large subunit of the eukaryotic ribosome. It is transcribed by RNA polymerase I as part of the 45S precursor that also contains 18S and 28S rRNA. Lineage: Eukaryota; Fungi; Ascomycota; Sordariomycetes; Hypocreales; Nectriaceae. The record is from RNAcentral.
ACUUUCAACAUCGGAUCUCUUGGUUCUGGCAUCGAUGAAGAACGCAGCAAAAUGCGAUAAGUAAUGUGAAUUGCAGAAUUCAGUGAAUCAUCGAAUCUUUGAACGCACAUUGCGCCCGCCAGUAUUCUGGCGGGCAUGCCUGUUCGAGCGUCAUUUC